UCGGGAAUUUUGGGCAAUGGGCGCAAGCCUGAUCCAGCCAUGCCGCGUGCGGGAAGAAGGCCUUCGGGUUGUAAAGCUCUUUUACCAGGGACGAUAAUGACGGUACCCAAAGAAGAAGCUCCGGCUAACUUCGUGCCAGCAGCCGCGGUAAUACGAAGGGGGCUAGCGUUGUUCGGAUUUACUGGGCGUAAAGCGCGUGUAGGCGGAUUUGUAAGUUGGGGGUGAAAUCCCGAGGCUCAACCUCGGAACUGCCUCCAAAACUACAAGUCUGGACCUAAGUAGAGGCAAGUGGAAUUGCGAGUGUAGAGGUGAAAUUCGUAGAUAUUCGCAGGAACACCAGUGGCGAAGGCGACUUGCUGGGCUUGUAGUGACGCUGAGACGCGAAAGCGUGGGGAGCAAACAGGAUUAGAUACCCUUGUAGUCCCUGAGCGGGCUGGCAAGGCGCAU
Molecule: ribosomal RNA, 447 nt
Filed under: uncultured bacterium
Lineage: Bacteria
Description: bacterial SSU rRNA
Rfam family: Bacterial small subunit ribosomal RNA
Source: RNAcentral